GACGAACGCUGGCGGCGUGCUUAACACAUGCAAGUCGAACGGAAAGGCCCUGCUUUUGUGGGGUGCUCGUGUGGCGAACGGGUGUGUAACACGUGUGUAACCUGCCCUUGACUUGGGGAUAACUUCAGGAAACUGGGGCUAAUACCGGAUAGGAGCUCCUGCGGCAUGGGGGGGGAUGGAAAGUUUCGGCGGUUGGGGAGGGACUCGCGGCUUAUCAGCUUGUUGGUGGGGUAGUGGCUUACCAAGGCUCUGACGGCUAGCCGGCCUGAGAGGGUGACCGGCCACAUUGGGCCUGAGAUACGGCCCAGACUCCUACGGGAGGCAGAGGGGGGAAAUAUUGCACAAGGGGGGGAAGCCUGUGGCGGCAACGCCGGGUGGGGGAUGACGGCCUUCGGGUUGUAAACCGCUUUCGCAUGUGACGAGGCGUGAGUGACGGUAAUGAGUAAAGAAGCACCGGCUAACUACGUG
This 468-nucleotide ribosomal RNA is filed under the name uncultured bacterium. Its description in RNAcentral is "partial 16S ribosomal RNA". It matches the Rfam family "Bacterial small subunit ribosomal RNA", at positions 28 to 507 of the family's 1533-position model. The record is from RNAcentral.